Molecule: ribosomal RNA, 497 nt
Filed under: uncultured bacterium
Lineage: Bacteria
Description: partial 16S ribosomal RNA
Rfam family: Bacterial small subunit ribosomal RNA
Source: RNAcentral
GAUGAACGCUGGCGGCGUGCCUAAUACAUGCAAGUCGAGCGAACAGACGAUGAGCUUGCUCCUUCGACGUUAGCGGCGGACGGGUGAGUAACACGUAGGUAACCUACCUAUAAGACUGGGAUAACUUCGGGAAACCGGUUCUAAUACCGGAUAAUAUUUCGAACCGCAUGGUUCGAUAGUGAAUGAUGGCUUUGCUAUCACUUAUAGAUGAACCUGUGCCGUAUUAGCUAGUUGGUAAGGUAACGGCUUACCAAGGCAACGAUCCGUAGCCGACCUGAGAGGGUGAUCGGCCACACUGGAACUGAGACACGGUCCAGACUCCUACGGGAGGCAGCAGUAGGGAAUAUUGCACAAUGGGCGCAAGCCUGACCGAGCCACACCGCGUGAGUGAUGAAGGCCUUCGGAUCGUAAAGCUCUGUUAUUAGGAAAGAACAACAGCAUAUGUAAACGCGCAUGUCCUGACGGUACCCAAUCAGUAAGCACCGGCUAACUUCGUG